CCUACGGGCGGCUGCAGUGGGGAAUAUUGGACAAUGGGGGGAACCCUGAUCCAGCCAUGCCGCGUGUGUGAAGAAGGCCCUCGGGUUGUAAAGCACUUUCAGUGAGGAAGAACGCCUGGUGGUUAAUACCCAUCAGGAAAGACAUCACUCACAGAAGAAGCACCGGCUAACUCCGUGCCAGCAGCCGCGGUAAUACGGAGGGUGCGAGCGUUAAUCGGAAUUACUGGGCGUAAAGCGCGCGUAGGUGGCUUGAUAAGCCGGUUGUGAAAGCCCCGGGCUCAACCUGGGAACGGCAUCCGGAACUGUCAAGCUAGAGUGCAGGAGAGGAAGGUAGAAUUCCCGGUGUAGCGGUGAAAUGCGUAGAGAUCGGGAGGAAUACCAGUGGCGAAGGCGGCUUUCUGGACUGACACUGACACUGAGGUGCGAAAGCGUGGGUAGCAAACAGGAUUAGAUACCCCUGUAGUC
Molecule: ribosomal RNA, 465 nt
Filed under: Vreelandella stevensii
Lineage: Bacteria; Pseudomonadati; Pseudomonadota; Gammaproteobacteria; Oceanospirillales; Halomonadaceae
Description: partial 16S ribosomal RNA
Rfam family: Bacterial small subunit ribosomal RNA
Source: RNAcentral